AGAGUUUGAUCAUGGCUCAGGAUGAACGCUGGCGGUGUGCCUUAGGCAUGCAAGUCGAACGGUAAUCCCGCCUUCGGGCGGGAACGAGUGGCAGACGGGUGAGUAACACGUAGGAAUCUACCUAGUAGUGGGGAAUAGCUUCGCGAAAGCGGAGGUAAAACCGCAUACGUCCCGCAGCAAUGUGGGAGAAAGCAGUAAUGCGCUAUUAGAGGAGCCUGCGCGCUAUCAGCUAGUUGGUGUGGUAAUGGCCUACCAAGGCUACGACGGCUAGCCGAUGUGAGAGCAUGAUCGGCCACAAGGCUACUGAAACACGGAGCCUACACCUACGGGUGGCAGCAACCGGGAAUUUUGCGCAAUGGACGAAAGUCUGACGCAGCGACACCGCGUGUGGGAUGAAGGUCUUCGGAUCGUAAACCACUGUGGCGAGGGAGGAAUUUUGACAGUACCUCGCUAGAAAGCACCAGCUAACCACGUGCCAGAAGCUUCGGUAAUACGUGGGGUGCGAGCGUUAUCCGGAUUUACUGGGCGUAAAGGGUCCGUCGGCGACUUGAUAAGUUGCUUGUUUAAGCCUGAGGCUCAACUUCAGAUAAGCAAGCAAAACUGUCAGGAUAGAGCCUGUUCGAGGAAGUUGGAAUUCUUGGUGGAGGGGUGAAAUCCGUAGAUAUCAAGAGGAACACCACGCGCGAAAGCAUACUUCUAGGACAGUACAGACGCUCAGGGACGAAAGCUUGGGUAGCAAAGCGGAUUAGAGACCCGUGUAGUCCAAGCUGUAAACGUU
This 778-nucleotide ribosomal RNA is filed under the name uncultured bacterium. Its description in RNAcentral is "bacterial SSU rRNA". It matches the Rfam family "Bacterial small subunit ribosomal RNA", at positions 8 to 810 of the family's 1533-position model. The record is from RNAcentral.